This 1784-nucleotide long non-coding RNA is filed under the name Macaca fascicularis (crab-eating macaque). Its description in RNAcentral is "lncRNA (ENSMFAG00000058155.1)". Lineage: Eukaryota; Metazoa; Chordata; Mammalia; Primates; Cercopithecidae. The record is from RNAcentral.
CCAAGACACUGUUUUCAUCCUACUGAUUCCACAUUGACUAAGGUAUUUUUUGGAAGAACCUAGAGCUAAAACAAUAAAAAAUACUGUCCUUUCCUGAAAAUGAGUGUUUAUUAGCCUGAGACUCUAAUACUUUCAGAGACCUAGGUCAUUCCUUUUUUUAUUCAACAUAUUCUAUAUGACAAUUAGUACUGCCAGCCGCUGUUCUAAGCAUCUAAUGAAGAUUAAUUUAAUCCUCAUAUCACCCCGUGAGGGAAACAUUAUUAUCAUUGCCAUCAAUGUUUAGUGUGGUUAUCUUUUUACUGCACAGUGUCACAAAACAGUGGCUUAAAACAACCAUUUAUUAUUAUUUCACAUGGUUCCGUGGUUUGACUGGGAUCAGCCGGGCAGAGCCUCUCACGCAGUUACAGUUAGAUGGUGAUGAGGCUGGAGUCAUCUAAAGGCAUAACCAGGCUGGCAUUAAAGCAGCCACAGUCCACCCAGUUUCAAGGGGGUGAAGGAGUAUACUCUAGUCCUCAGUGGGGGAGUCACAGACACUUAUAGGGAGGGAAGGAAUUGAUGGCAGCCAUCUUCAGAGGUAAGCUACAAUGACAGGUCAUUCCCAAUGAGAAAACCAAGCACAGAGAAGUUAAAUUACUUACCCAAGGCCAUACAACUGGUAUGUGGAUAAACAGAGUUAAUCCUAGGCAGUUGAGUUCCAGAGCCUGCUGGGAGAGGCAAAAGGGAUUGGAGCCCAAUAGCACAGCCCAGACUCACAGCAGAGUCAGGGUGUGACGAGCACAGCCUUAUUCAUAGCAGAGCUGGAGAGUCCUGGAGUCAUCUAUCAGGGAUCAGUGAAAAGGAAGAAAUUCUAAAAAUACUAGGAAACGUCAAGGACUGUCUAAACAAGGCUGUUGUUAUGUUGGGGGUGAAAAUAUGGUCUCAUGUGACCCAAGGCAAGUGGAAGCCUUCAUACUUUCAUUUAUCUUUCCAAUCAGGAAAGAAUGAAAAUGUAAGAGUGUUGGUGGGCGGGGGUGGGUGGGGCAUGUGUGUGUUAUUUUUCCUUAUAAAUAAUUAAAAUCUGGAACCUUUAGUCAGAUACUCAAAGGGGUCAUAUAUGGGAGAAACUAAGGCUUGGACCAGGGAGUUAAAAUCUGCAGUGCAGACCAGCUUCAGAAGGGAUCUUCAAGCUCCUUCGGCAUCGUCUGCUAAAUGUCUGGGUCAUCGAGGACCUUACGCACAUUUGCUCCCUCUAAUGGAAGGACAAGGAAAUGACAUAUCUACUUCAAAAAGGUUAGUCACAUCACAGGAGUAGUGGGUAUUGCCACAAGUAAGCCCAUUCACCUCUGGAGUGGUUGGUUUCUCUCUGGAACUCUAGCAACCUGAGACAGUGGGUAACUUAGGCCCUUUUCAAUGUGUAGCUUCUCAGAACUUCUGGGCCAGAAAGGCAGGUUCCACACACUGAUUUGGACCCGCUCGACAUCUGCGUGAGUGUGGUGAGUGGAAGAGCAUCAGGCCAUGUCCCAGGUCUUUCCAAAUCAGACUCCGUUAUUUCUGACAUUCCUCUUCCUAAAGACCAGAGGUAGGAAUUCAGGGCCGCCAUUUUCAUCGUCUCUCCUCACGAUAGGAAUCAGCCUCCUCUGCGGCUGCUCCCGCUGAACACCACGACAUUCCAGCCGCGGGGAACUGCUCAGGACUCAGUAUCAUUCUCAGACCUAGGCAGCAGGGUUCCGUGCUGGCCCUCCUCCAGAGGUGCCCAGCCGCACGGGGCAAAGAGUCUGCAGGGCCAACAGGGAUGUGCCCACCCC